This 1222-nucleotide ribosomal RNA is filed under the name Haematopinus asini. RNAcentral's name for it is "16S ribosomal RNA". The stretch from base 504 to 1222 matches the Rfam family "Archaeal large subunit ribosomal RNA", at positions 1423 to 2790 of the family's 2987-position model. Lineage: Eukaryota; Metazoa; Arthropoda; Insecta; Psocodea; Haematopinidae. The record is from RNAcentral.
AUAAAAUUUUGUGUAAAUGUUGAAUAAUAAAGAGUUAGUCAGUGAAAGAAUAGUCUUUGGGGUAAAGUCGCUGUGAGGCAAUUAAUGUUUACGUUGAACUGUAAAGGAAUGUGUUUAAAUAGUUAAAAGAAUACUCUAUUGUAGUACCUUUUGUAUCAGGGGGGUAGGAAUGAGAGUGAAUUAAAGUCACCUUCCCGAAGGAGAAAGAGCUCUUUGUGUUUGGAAUUGAUGUGUCAUAAUCAUUUUAAAGGCACAUUGAGGGGUGAAAUGCUAGUCAAUUGUCUCUGUUAUCUGGUUGUCUGACAACUGCCUAUAGGGCAAGAUCACUGUUCUUGGUUAACGUGUCAAGCAUUCUCUGAGGGAUAAGCUUUGGGGAAUUCUAGGUUUAUACUGAUUGAAAUCACUAUGAUACGACUGUUUUAUUGAAUUUAUCUAUAAACUUUAGGCUAUGAGACUACUUUGAAUAACUUUCUUUCUAGGAAAAAAAUCUACUUAUUAGUAAAUCGUCAAUUUUAAUUUUAAUCUUUUAAAGGAACUCGGCAAACUUUAUAAUUCUGACUGUUUAAUAAAAACAUUUCCUUUUUGUAGAAUAAAAGGUAAGGCCUGCUCAAUGCUUGCAAAAGUAAAUAGCUGCGGUAUCCUGACUGUACUAAGGUAGCAUAAUAAUUUGUUUCUUAAUUGGAAACUAGUAUGAAUGGUCUAACAAGAAUAAAGCUGUCUCUAAUAGAUAUAAUUGAACUUUAUUUUUGAGUGAAAAAGCUUAAAUUGUCUAGCAGGACGAGAAGACCCUAUAGAUUUUUAUAGAAGCGGUGUCUAACUUGGCGCUAAGUCUAUUUACUUGGGAAGAGGGCUUAAAGGAAACUAAGAUUAAAUUAAAUUAUCAUAGUAAAAACUUUGGAUCCCUUUUAUUGUAAGGAUAAAGAGAAAAAAUACCUUAGGGAUAACAGCAUAAUCUUCUUUCUCAGUUCUUAUGGGAAAAGGAGGCUUGCGACCUCGAUGUUGAAUUAAGUUUUCAUUUCUGACGUAGAAAGCGUAAUGGUAAGUCUGUUCGACUAUUAAAAACUUACAUGAUUUGAGUUUAGACCGACGUGAGUCAGGUCAGAUUCUAUCCUCUAGGUCAUUAAUUAUCUUAGUACGAAAGGAUUAGAUAGUUCAUUGUUGAAUUUAAUGUUCGGAAUAGUUCUAUAAACUUGGCUUUAGACCGAGGAAUCUAGUUAUUCUU